GGAUGCAAUCAUACCAGCACUAAAGCACCGGAUCCCAUCAGAACUCUGAAGUUAAGCGUGCUUGGGCGAGAGUAGUACUAGGAUGGGUGACCUCCUGGGAAGUCCUCGUGUUGCAUUCC
Molecule: ribosomal RNA, 119 nt
Filed under: Triticum aestivum (bread wheat)
Lineage: Eukaryota; Viridiplantae; Streptophyta; Magnoliopsida; Poales; Poaceae
Also listed under: 2 other names
Source: RNAcentral